UUCUGGUUUAAUCGUGAGGUCCCAGCAUUGGUAAUUUUUAAAGCCCCUGAGAUUAUUCUGAUUGUAGCCAAGGUUAAGAACCAUCCAUUUUCAAUACAAUUUCUUAAGAGGAGUCUGCGUUUACUUUUUGUACUUUCUCAUCUCUCAUUCCUGUACCACUGUCGUCUGGCCUUCCUUUCACUAAAAUCCACGGUGACCCAGUAGAUCCUUAAUCAUCUUUAUCAUGUGGGUCCAAUUCAUGAAUUCAGCAUUUUUGGUCUUUUUCUUCUCUCUUGAAAUCCUGUACUUCUGACUUCCGUGACAUUACGUUUUCUUGAUUUACCUCUUCUCUGACAUUUCCUCUUGUGAAUACUUCGUAAACAUUUGUUUUCCCAAGGCAUUUCCUUCGCCUGCUUUUCUUCGUACUCUGCAGCAGGGUUUCUUAACAUUAGGACUGGUGACAUUUUGGGUACUUUGUUGUCGUGCGGGGCUGUCUCUAAAUGUUUAGCAGCAGCCCCGGCCUCUCCCUACUUCCUCACCCCACCCCCAGUGAAGACAACCAGAAAUGUCUCUAGACAUUGUCAGAUGUCCCCUGGGAGCAGAUAUUGUCCCAGCUUGAGAACCACUACUCUUUAAGCUCUCUGGCCGUUCUCAAGUUCUCUCACAGUUAUAAUUACCUGUGUACUAAAGACUCCCAGAUCUAUUUUUCUAUUUUAACCUUUUCCCCUAAUGUAAGACUUGAAUAUAUAACCUCUUAUUAGACAUUUCCAUCUGGAUGCUCCAUAGAUACUCCAAACUUACCAAGAUGGAAACUAAACUCACCCAAAUCUCUGAUCUUUUUUCUUUCUUUCUGAUUUUAAUUGGUGGCGCCACUCUCUGUCCAGUUUAGAAGCCUGGGCAUUAACCUGGAAUCGUUUCUUCGUCUCACUCAAUCCUCCCGUAGAUGCACACUUAGGAUGUCAUUAAGUCUUUCUGAUUAUUAUUUCGUUUCUCAACUUCUGUUUUGCCCAGCUGUUUCCCCCUAGUUCACAUCCUCCUCUUCCCUUGCUUGCCUGCACUCUUGCAUUAGACUCCUUACUCUUCCUUCUCCUUCAGAGCUUUAGCAUUCUUAAAUUUACUCCCAUAUUACCCUUGCAGGAUUAUCUCCCUAAAUUUUCAAAUCUGCAUCAUCACUUUCCUACUUAAAAUCCAUUGUCACAGGGUCUGUAACUUCAAAUACAAAGCCCUCUAUGUUUUUUAAUCCUCCCAACCUUUGCAGCCUUGUUUCCAGUCAGGAUUUUUUUGUUGCCAAAUAAUGGGGAGAAUUACCCUACUUUGUUCUUUCGACUGUACGAAUGCUUAAAAACACAAUAUGACUGCCCUCAGGCAGCCUUCUGUCCUGUCUGCAAUCUAAGAGGAGUAGGGGACUAACUUCAUGCCUAGAAUUUUUUAGGCAGUAGGCUCUCUACACUCUUUUCAUGGAAUCCUUGAGCUGGGCCAUAUACAGUUAAAGUAGGGAUCAAAUUUUAAAAUCUUUUGCUCAAAAAUUCCUUGUCGGACUAAUAAUAUAUCCAUGGGAACACGUUAGUUUGAAUCAGUACUCGGUUGCUUCACCUUUUUAAUUCCUAGGAAGUUGUAGUGUCCUCCAUUACUACAUGGUCCCUUUGACUAGCAGAGUGGGAGAAAGAUAAGUGUCCUUUUCUCAUACGUUUUUUACAGAUAAACAUAUUACCUUAGUAACAUGCAAGUAACAUAUAACCCGAUUUAAUGGUGGCUUAAACAAGAUUCUUUUUUCUUACACUUAGCAGGUCUCUAGGUAGGUGCAGCAGGUGAGUUCAGUGUCUCAACCCUAUUAGGGUUGGAGCUCUGAGGUUCUCUUGGUCUUUCCCUCCUGCUUACUGCCUUAGGGCCUCAGGCAGGAAGAAAGAAAAGGGUAGUGUCCGUUUAUUUGUCCUAUUUUUCUUUUUAAAGAAAGGAAAAUCUUUUCCAUUACUCCACUCCCACUUCUGUACGCCCUGCCAAGAAAAUUCUACUCACCAGGCACUUGGUCACACGCUCCCCAACCCCAGCCGUAAUGGAAGCUGGAAAGAGCGUGGGUUUAGCUCUUCUGUUCUCUGCAGUAGGAAGUGGCAAGGGAGAAGGGUGUUGGGAAUGGAUUUGGGGUCAGCCAGCCAGUGUCUGCUAAUUAUCUAUUUUAUUAGCUAUUUCAGCAAAUAGAAUAAGUGGUGGGUUAUUUCAGAUUAAUUAUAGUGUAGAAUUAAUGUUUAUUUUACAUUAAACAAUGUUUUCUCAAUCUUCUGAAGAUUUUGAUCUUAUUACUUGUAAAAUAUAUCAACUAUGGGCCUUUAUCCCACCACCUUUUUUUGGAUGGGUGUUAGUAACUCAUGAUUUGGGCUCUAAAUCAGUGUUUUCUACAUUUUAGACAGUAAGUACUGUCUUGAUGAUUUUUUUUUUCCCCUCUCAACAUUAUUUGAUGUUUUCUUUAGACCUACUUUUUUUUUUUUUUUAACCUGAGAUAUACUGUGGGUAAGAAGCUUCAUAUUACCUGUAUAAACAUUAUUAUAUACUCAUUAGCUGGUUUUUUUUUUUUUCCCCACUCAUCUUUCUUGUCAAGUAGAGACCUCCCUCUGCUAUAGGAUCAGAAUAUGCCAGAUAUUGCUUUUCAAGGCUCUUUGACAGGUAGGACAAAGGCGUAUAACCCGUUUCUUACCAAUGGGACCUAAAGGGUCAGCUGGAAGGACUUCUGAGAAAAUUUUUCUUCUCUUUUCUUCCCUUGAGGACAGUCCUAGCUCUUUACUUCCUGUCUAAGGAUGUGAUUCUUGGAGCCGCCGCAGCCAUCUUGCAACCAUGUAUGGGAAACAUGGCUGAUAUGCUGAGGAUGGCAGAGAGGAAAGAUGGAAAGAGUCAUCUUUCAUUGAGUUGCUAUACCAAACUUGGGACUGUUUGCCUCCAGACUGUUUGUUAAUUAAGACAUUGCCCCAUAAUCUCUGAGUGACAAAGACCAACUCAUUAGGAUAAAGCACUGGGUAGAUGUGCCAUCUUCAGAAUGACAAGUUUCAAACAUCUGUUUGUAUUUGUGUUGUAAGUAUUUGAGGACCAAAUAUAGCGUGUUGAUAAGUGUUUGUAAAAUGGAAUUCUCAAAAAAAAAAAA
Long non-coding RNA from Pteropus alecto (black flying fox), 3109 nucleotides. RefSeq lists it as uncharacterized. Lineage: Eukaryota; Metazoa; Chordata; Mammalia; Chiroptera; Pteropodidae. The record is from RefSeq and is a predicted model, not a curated record. The transcript is spliced from 2 exons.